Molecule: ribosomal RNA, 459 nt
Filed under: uncultured bacterium
Lineage: Bacteria
Description: partial 16S ribosomal RNA
Rfam family: Bacterial small subunit ribosomal RNA
Source: RNAcentral
CCUACGGGUGGCAGCAGUGAGGAAUAUUGGUCAAUGGACGAGAGUCUGAACCAGCCAAGUAGCGUGAAGGAUGACUGCUCUAUGGGUUGUAAACUUCUUUUUAUGGGAUUAAAAUGUUCCACGUGUGGGAUUUUGUAUGUACCAUAUGAAUAAGGAUCGGCUAACUCCGUGACAGCAGCCGCGGUAAUACGAAGGGGGCAAGCGUUGUUCGUAAUUACGGGGCGUAAAGGGAGUGUAGGCGGUUUAGUAAGAUAGUGGUGAAAUCCCAGAGUUUAAAUUUGGAAUUGCCAUUAUAACUAUUAGACUAGAAUUACAGAGAGGAUAGUGGAAUACCUAGUGUAGAGGUGAAAUUCGUAGAGAUUGGGUAGAACACCAGUGGCGAAGGCGACUAUCUGGCUGUACAUUGACGCUGAGGCUCGAAAGCAUGGGGAUCAAACAGGAUUAGAUACCCGUGUAGUC